This 300-nucleotide ribosomal RNA is filed under the name uncultured archaeon. Its description in RNAcentral is "partial 16S ribosomal RNA". The stretch from base 61 to 300 matches the Rfam family "Bacterial small subunit ribosomal RNA", at positions 556 to 795 of the family's 1533-position model. The record is from RNAcentral.
GGUAAGACUGUGCAAGGAGCGGGGGGGAGAGGGGGGGGGUAAGGUGGAAUGGGAAGUGCGGGGCGUAAGGGUGGGGUAGGCGGCGUGGGAAGGCGAUGGUGGAAUCCCCGGGAUCAACCUGGGAAUGGCAGUCGAGACGGCCAGGGUAGAGUGUAGGAGAGGGUGGUGGAAUUCCCGGUGUAGCGGUGAAAUGCGUAGAUAUCGGGAGGAACAUCAGUGGCGAAGGCGACCGCCUGGCCUAACACUGACGCUGAGGUGCGAAAGCGUGGGUAGCAAACAGGAUUAGAUACCCGAGUAGUC